GAAAAAUUAGUUAAAUAUUAUAACAUUAGCUUGUCAAGCUCAAAUUAUCAACCGCAGAAUUGAUAUUUUUCA
This 72-nucleotide transfer RNA is filed under the name Metapenaeus affinis. RNAcentral describes it as "tRNA-Asp". It matches the Rfam family "tRNA". From Rfam's summary of the family: Transfer RNA (tRNA) molecules are approximately 80 nucleotides in length. Their secondary structure includes four short double-helical elements and three loops (D, anti-codon, and T loops). The record is from RNAcentral. Lineage: Eukaryota; Metazoa; Arthropoda; Malacostraca; Decapoda; Penaeidae.